Molecule: ribosomal RNA, 543 nt
Filed under: uncultured bacterium
Lineage: Bacteria
Description: bacterial SSU rRNA
Rfam family: Archaeal small subunit ribosomal RNA
Source: RNAcentral
AAUAGAUACCCUGGUAGUCCUAGCCGUAAACGAUACUCGCUAGGUGUCGGCCACGGUGCGACCGUUGUCGGUGCCGUAGGGAAGCCGUGAAGCGAGCCACCUGGGAAGUACGGCCGCAAGGCUGAAACUUAAAGGAAUUGGCGGGGGAGCACCACAACGGGUGGAGCUUGCGGUUUAAUUGGAUUCAACGCCGGAAAUCUUACCGGGACCGACAGCAACAUGAAGGCCAGGCUGAAGACUUUGCCGGAUUAGCUGAGAGGUGGUGCAUGGCCGUCGUCAGUUCGUACUGUGAAGCAUCCUGUUAAGUCAGGCAACGAGCGAGACCCACGCCCACAGUUGCCAGCGUACUCUCCGGAGUGACGAGUACACUGUGGGGACCGCCGCUGCUAAAGCGGAGGAAGGAAUGGGCAACGGUAGGUCAGUAUGCCCCGAAUAUCCCGGGCUACACGCGAGCUACAAUGGUUGGUACAAUGGGUAUCUACCCCGAAAGGGGAUGGAAAUCUCCUAAAGCCAAUCUUAGUUCGGAUUGAGGGCUGCAACUCG